RNAcentral lists this ribosomal RNA (643 nucleotides) under uncultured marine bacterium. RNAcentral's name for it is "bacterial SSU rRNA". It matches the Rfam family "Bacterial small subunit ribosomal RNA", at positions 232 to 885 of the family's 1533-position model. The record is from RNAcentral.
CGCGGCCUAUCAGCUUGUUGGUGGGGUAAUGGCCUACCAAGGCGACGACGGGUAGCCGACCUGAGAGGGUGAUCGGCCACACUGGGACUGAGACACGGCCCAGACUCCUACGGGAGGCAGCAGUGGGGAAUAUUGCACAAUGGGCGCAAGCCUGAUGCAGCGACGCCGCGUGAGGGAUGACGGCCUUCGGGUUGUAAACCUCUUUCACCAGGGACGAAGCUUUUGUGACGGUACCUGGAGAAGAAGCACCGGCCAACUACGUGCCAGCAGCCGCGGUAAUACGUAGGGUGCGAGCGUUGUCCGGAAUUACUGGGCGUAAAGAGCUCGUAGGCGGUUUGUCGCGUCGUCUGUGAAAUUCUGCAGCUUAACUGCAGGCGUGCAGGCGAUACGGGCAGACUUGAGUACUACAGGGGAGACUGGAAUUCCUGGUGUAGCGGUGAAAUGCGCAGAUAUCAGGAGGAACACCGGUGGCGAAGGCGGGUCUCUGGGUAGUAACUGACGCUGAGGAGCGAAAGCGUGGGUAGCGAACAGGAUUAGAUACCCUGGUAGUCCACGCCGUAAACGGUGGGUACUAGGUGUGGGGCUCAUUUCACGAGUUCCGUGCCGUAGCUAACGCAUUAAGUACCCCGCCUGGGGAGUACGG